GGCCCAGUGGCACAGUGGGUAGUGCGGUUGUCUCAUGCCAUAGAAAUUGUGGGUUGGAAUCCGGCCUGGAUUC
This is a non-coding RNA of Gymnothorax javanicus (giant moray), 73 nucleotides long. Lineage: Eukaryota; Metazoa; Chordata; Actinopteri; Anguilliformes; Muraenidae. The record is from the annotation of a GenBank genome assembly.